UGCAGAGCAGCAAGAAAAGAAGCACGUAAGAUGGAUAAAAAAGAGGGAGUUCUGCAGCAGGAUUCCCAUCGUGCUGAACACAGGACUGCGUGACUGCUCCACGCAGGCAGAGGGAGAGAGGGAAGAGAGAGGAGAGAAGGCAGAAAGGUAGGAAGGAAGAAAGAAGGGGGAGGGGAGACAUUUCAGCGCAGUGCAAGCUGAGUGGUUGAGUAGCAGCAGCGCGCAGCAUCAGGACCAGCUGUAGCAUCUUCUUUUGUGGUUGCUGGUGGAGGCUGCGUUGAAGCUGGACACAGACACUCCUGCUGUUCACCUUAUACACACCCUCAUGGCGUGGUGGCCACCAGAGAAGACGGAGUGAGCGGCGGGGCUCGGGGAACCGAGCAUCUAAGGAAGUUAGUCCAAAGGAGAGGAGGGCUGGAGUGACGGAGACAGGAGUAGCAGCAGCAGCAGCAGCGGCACCAUGGCGCAAGCUGCCAAGCAGCUCCGCAAGACCAAGGACCUCGCGGAGGCCGCCGCCCAAGAGCAGAGGGAGAAGGAAGAGGAAAAGAUUAAAAAAAGGAAUCGAUCCAGGGACCGCAGGCGCAAGGCGGAUGCCACCACC
Long non-coding RNA from Thalassophryne amazonica, 601 nucleotides. RefSeq lists it as uncharacterized. NCBI's taxonomy places the organism in Eukaryota, Metazoa, Chordata, Actinopteri, Batrachoidiformes, Batrachoididae. The transcript has 3 exons. The record is from RefSeq and is a predicted model, not a curated record.